AUUUGAAGAGAAUCGCAUUCAGGGUGAUUUCCAAGUGUCUCCAGACUUGAAGACCACUGCCUGGUAGCUUCUAGUGGAUGGAGAUGAUGUGCAUAAGCCCUUCUGGUCGAAGACCCCCAGGCCAGAUCUUUGGAGGGCCCUUCUUGGUCUUCUUGGAACCAGGACUUCUACGUUCUGUCCUCCUGCAGCCAUCUAAAAUCAGCCAGAAAGGUUUAGGAUCCCAUUUCCUGUUCUUGCAUCGGCUGUCCAAGCUGCUGUUCCUCUCUCCGCAGUAAGAGGGUGUUUCUCUCCCUGUUCAAGAGGAGCACCAACACUUGAGGACAGUAUCAUCCCUAGACCUUGGCAAGAGAGACCACUGAGUGAGGCAUCCAUGGAACCCAAGGAAGAGGCCUACGAAGAACCUGCAGUCACCUUCUAGACCAUUCUCCCUCACCAAACUGUCCCCUCCAGAGAGCUGAGGACUGGAUCUUCCCAUGCUGACACCUCCAGUGGGAAAGAAAAUUCUAGAUUCAGCUCUGGGUGUCCAAGUCAUUAUGAAGGCAUAUUUGUCAAGGUGGAAGAAAAGGACAUAUUCUAUUUAGCAGUUUGAAGAAGAUAGACAAAAACACCAGAGGAGCUGCUCCCAGAUGGAGUGGACUUGCCAUACAAAGCAAGAGAGUCCCAGCAGGGCAGGGAUCUGUAGUGGAUGGUGAUGCAGCACCCAGGAAACCUCAUCAGGAUGUAGCUACUCCUUCUCCCACUGCGGGUGGUACCAGCUGCUGAAGGCUCACAGCUGAGACUCUCUAAGGAAAGGGGACACAUAGCCCAGGUGAUGCCCACUCUCCAGGGACAGCCUGCACCAGUGACUAGACGCAGGAGGAAGAUGCCCACUGCCUGGCUUCUAUUUGUGAUGGCCUCUGAAGGGCUAUCUCAGAUCCACUGCUGCCUUUGGGGGAAUGGAGGUCCUUGUGGAGACCACAUUCCACCUGAAAUGCCUCUGCCCAAUCCUGCUUUCCUGACUUAUGGUUGUUGUUCCCAAGAAAACACCCUCAUAAAUCAUUUCCAGGGAACCCAACUGAAGCCAUAAAUCCCUCCAGAAAAAAA
This 1083-nucleotide long non-coding RNA is filed under the name Homo sapiens (human). RNAcentral describes it as "novel transcript". The record is from RNAcentral. Lineage: Eukaryota; Metazoa; Chordata; Mammalia; Primates; Hominidae.